GGAUCCAGACUUUGAUUAUGGCUCAGGAUGAACGCUGGCGGCGUGCCUAACACAUGCAAGUCGAACGGAGUUCUUAAGGAAUGCGGCUUCGGCCAAAUGAUUUUUGAACUUAGUGGCGGACGGGUGAGUAACGCGUGAGCAACCUGCCUUUCAGAGGGGGAUAACAUUUGGAAACAGAUGCUAAUACCGCAUAAGAUUACAGUACCGCAUGAUACAGUGAUCAAAGGAGCAAUCCGCUGAAAGAUGGGCUCGCGUCCGAUUAGAUAGUUGGUGAGGUAACGGCUCACCAAGUCGACGAUCGGUAGCCGGACUGAGAGGUUGAACGGCCACAUUGGGACUGAGACACGGCCCAGACUCCUACGGGAGGCAGCAGUGGGGAGUAUUGCACAAUGGGCGAAAGCCUGAUGCAGCAACGCCGCGUGAGGGAAGACGGUUUUCGGAUUGUAAACCUCUGUUUUCGGUGACGAACAAAUGACGGUAACCGAGUAGGAAGCCACGGCUAACUACGUGCCAGCAGCCGCGGUAAUACGUAGGUGGCAAGCGUUAUCCGGAAUUACUGGGUGUAAAGGGAGCGCAGGCGGGAUAGCAAGUCAGCUGUGAAAACUAUGGGCUCAACCCAUAAACUGCAGUUGAAACUGUUAUUCUUGAGUGGAGUAGAGGCAAGCGGAAUUCCGAGUGUAGCGGUGAAAUGCGUAGAUAUUCGGAGGAACACCAGUGGCGAAGGCGGCUUGCUGGGCUCUAACUGACGCUGAGGCUCGAAAGUGUGGGGAGCAAACAGGAUUAGAUACCCUGGUAGUCCACACUGUAAACGAUGAUUGCUAGGUGUGGGGGGUCUGACCCCCUCCGUGCCGGAGUUAACGCAAUAAGCAAUCCACCUGGGGAGUACGGCCGCAAGGUUGCAACUCAAAGGAAUUGACGG
RNAcentral lists this ribosomal RNA (919 nucleotides) under uncultured Bacillota bacterium. RNAcentral describes it as "bacterial SSU rRNA". It matches the Rfam family "Bacterial small subunit ribosomal RNA", at positions 1 to 916 of the family's 1533-position model. The record is from RNAcentral. Lineage: Bacteria; Bacillati; Bacillota.